This is a long non-coding RNA of Cavia porcellus (domestic guinea pig), 1278 nucleotides long. RefSeq lists it as uncharacterized. The record is from RefSeq and is a predicted model, not a curated record. The transcript is spliced from 2 exons. NCBI's taxonomy places the organism in Eukaryota, Metazoa, Chordata, Mammalia, Rodentia, Caviidae.
UACGCAGACGUCUGUGUCUGAAUGAAGGAGUGAACACAUAAGCAGGCCCAUCAGGAGUUCCACACGAAAAGGUGCAGAGGCAGGAGAUAGCAUCAGCUCAGUCUCCUGUGGUGACACUCUCCCAUGCAGCUGAGCAGAGAAGACUUCCUCUCCUCAGACCACGCAGCUGGUCCUGAGCAGAGGCAGAGGAACAUCCACGGCAGCUUCUUCAGCCUCCUGACAACACUGCGCCUGCCCCUCUCUUCCUCUGAGCAGCCUCUUAGCUCUGACAGAUACCUUCCCGGGAAAGGCCUUCCUGGGACGAGGUGGCUUGAGGAGGCCUCAGCACAGGAAAAGGCUCACCCGCAAAGAGAGGGCACGAGUAGGGUGGGGUGCUGAGUGAGCUGUGUCUCGGGUCCCCUGCAGGGACACACACAGGCUGGUUAUCUCGGGUCCCCUGUAGGGACACACACAGGCAGGUCCAAGGAGCAGAAAACCGUGUGUACUUUCUCAUAUGUGAUAAGACAAGAUGAUACGACAGCCCUGAGGCUACGGCCAAUCCCCACAGCCAGGGCUCGGGGUCCCUCACUGCAGGAGGCCUGUACCCCAGUCUUGAAGCCUUUCCCUGGAAAACCCUAGGCUGCACCCUCCCACUGGGCUCCCCAGCGUGCCAGGCUGCAAACAGGGCUGACUUCGGAAUUGACCAGAGUGGCCCCACCAGCAAAUCCUGGAUCCGGGGUGAGGAAGGAUCCAGGCCCUCACCUGGCUGCUUUUCUGGUCACUGAGCACAAGGAACAGGGAUCCCCCCUCACACCUGGCACCCAGCAGAACUGCUCAGCGCAGCCGCCUGCUGAGGUUCCUCUGGCUGCCCUGCACACAGGGCUGCUGCAGAAACGGCUGUGAGCAGAUGCUUCCUUUAAACACGGACGGCCGCCCACAGGAUCCACAGAUGGCAACAAUGACAGGGCCCAGCCCAGAACCCAGUGGCAGCUGACCCCAGAGACCUGGCCUGGGCCGAUGACGGGCUCAACAUCUCCAUGAGACAGAAGCGCCUUCCAUCUGCCCCACUGCCCAAGCCGGGACCCGUCACUCAUCACAUCCCCUCAGAGCUGAUCAGAGCUUGCCUUGCUGGGGAUAUUGUGAGACCCCCUCACCUCCAACCUCCCAUGCUCCAGUGCACCCCACAAAGCCCUGCACUGGUACCGUCAUCCCACUGCCCCCUAACAAUUAUGGAUGGGUCUGUGUAAAUGCAUCCGCCAGGGGCACAAAUAAACGGAUGAAGGUCUGACACCACCUCCA